CAAACUAAUAUAAGAGCUAUUAUUUAGAGCUCUCUAAAUAAAAGAAAAUACAGGUUACCAAUUUAAAAGCACAUCUGGUAUUUUUACUGUAUUUUAUGUAUGAAUUAAAAAUAUUAUUUGUAUAUUACAUUGAGAAUUACUUCAACUGCCAUGAAUGGAAAAAGAAAAUAUUGUGAGAUGCUUUGGAACAUUCUUGGGACAAUUGUACACUUGAUUAAAUACAAUGGAAAGGACAUUUCGUUAAGUGCAUAAAUUGGAUUCAGUGAACUGACCAGCACAAAGAAUUAUGUUGAAAAGCAUGAAAAAGUAACCAUGGUAGCAGCUCCAAGGAAGAUGGUUAAAUAAAUCUUCAACCAAGUCUGAGGCUUUACCAAGAAAAUAAGAAGGCAAGUUUAAUUAAGUCAAACAAGUUCUAUACAUUCUAUACAUUAUUUGAUAAAAAGUGUAUAUUUAGAGCAUACAACGCAGUUACAGUGGAGAAAGUGAUGUUGCUAACGUAAAAUGUUAUUUUUUGCCUUUCAAUGGGAGAUAACUCAUUGUAAAAUGUGCAGAUGAUUUACCUUUAUGAACAAUAAAAUAUGUUUAAACCAUUAUUUUUGUGGAGUUGAAAUUCAAUAAGUAAAUUUAUAAGACUUUUUUUUUAUUUUUCAUCUUUUACAUUGAUUUUACAGUUAUUGAUGUUAUACUUUUGUGUACACGUAGUCAGAAAUCUGAACAAUAUUGGUAAAUGUAGGGGAAAUGGAAAUAUAAAGUAUAUAAAUUGUCAAUUUUUUAUAUUUUAGGUUCUUUCUGUGAGAUGUUUUCAUGGUGUGGGAAUAAGACUUGGUGGUCUAAUACAGCUAAUAUAUAGGUAGGUACCAGUAUACAGUUUCGAAAAGAAGAAAGAAAAAAAAGAUAAAUGUAGUACAUGUAUAAAAAAUAAUUAGAUCCAUUUUUUACUUUCCUUGCCUUGAAAUAAUCAAACACUAAAUUUCUGUUAUUUAUUUCUACCUCUCUUUUGAUAUCAGUACAAAUACAAUGUAUAGUGUAAAUUGAAGGAUCUAACAUGAUUAUUUGGUUUGUUAUGUUGUUGGAUUGCUGUCUAGUCAAUAUGUUCUCAACAUCUAGUACAUGAAUAUAACCCAUUUCUUUUUAAUUUUAAUACAGUAACAAGUGAUCCUUUUAAACCAUUUUAUUAAUAAUAUGACAACAUUUUAUAUUUCAGAUUAGCUUCACAGCUUGUCUGUAAGGAUUGAAGUUGGGAAUGGGCAUUGGAGCUGGCUUUUAUGGUAAGAACCAGUACAUAAAUUAAUGAAUUAUUCAGCAAAGAGCAUGUACAAACCUAGUUCUUCAUUAUGCUAAGAAGUAUUAUACUUUAAUUAUGCAGAGAAGUAGUAUACUUUAAUUUUUCUUAAAACUAUAAUCGUAUAUAUAAUCUGGAAGGAGGACAUUAGGAGGUAUGAAGAUAAAUAAAGGAAAUAAAAAAUUAUACUGUUACUUAGAAAAUCUGUUUUCUAAAAUUGUCCCAUAUAAAGUAAGAAGAUCAUUGUCAAUGAAAUAACUCUCCCAGAGACCAAAUGACAUGGAUGUAAGCAACUAAUGGUCACUGUAUGGCCUACAACAAUGAGCAAAACAUAUACUUUACAAUUAACUAUGAAACAGAAAGUAGGCGACAUGAAAAAAUGUGAAACAAUUCAAACAAGAAAACCAACAGCUAGAUUUAUGAUGAAACAAUGAAAUAAUAACAAAUAUGUUGGACAACAACCAACUACUUGUCAUCCCUUGUUUGCUAAAGAAGACUGGUUGUUUGUAAAUUCAUGUCAACACAUCACUUUAAAACAAAGUAAAUCAAUUUUCUAUGCAUCAUCAGUGCAAUAACCAGUUACUUUGCAUUGAAUAUUGUUCUGACAGAUAUUAGAAUGCAUAUUUCUUUUUCAGGUGACUUCAACUGUGGCUGCAGGAAAUUAUUGUGCAAUACAACUGAAACAAAAAAGAAUGUAAUUCAGACUAUUUUUGUGUAUGUUUGAAAAAAUGUUUAUAAUUUUUAUCACAAAUAAAAAAAAAAAAAUGUAAAGAUUCUCCAUUUUCAGCAAGACUGGAAGUUGUAUGCUAAAUUGAUACUUCAGAAUUUUACAAUAUUACUUGUAGACCUACUUGAGACUAUCUUAAUAAUGGUC
RNAcentral lists this long non-coding RNA (2156 nucleotides) under Mytilus galloprovincialis (Mediterranean mussel). Lineage: Eukaryota; Metazoa; Mollusca; Bivalvia; Mytilida; Mytilidae. The record is from RNAcentral.